UCGAGCAGGUACGAAAGUAGGUCUUAGUGAUCCGGUGGUUCUGUAUGGAAGGGCCAUCGCUCAACGGAUAAAAGGUACUCCGGGGAUAACAGGCUGAUACCGCCCAAGAGUUCAUAUCGACGGCGGUGUUUGGCACCUCGAUGUCGGCUCAUCACAUCCUGGGGCUGAAGCCGGUCCCAAGGGUAUGGCUGUUCGCCAUUUAAAGUGGUACGCGAGCUGGGUUUAGAACGUCGUGAGACAGUUCGGUCCCUAUCUGCCGUGGACGUUUGAGAUUUGAGAGGGGCUGCUCCUAGUACGAGAGGACCGGAGUGGACGAACCUCUGGUGUUCCGGUUGUCACGCCAGUGGCAUUGCCGGGUAGCUAUGUUCGGGAAAGAU
Molecule: ribosomal RNA, 377 nt
Filed under: Salmonella enterica subsp. enterica serovar Muenchen
Lineage: Bacteria; Pseudomonadati; Pseudomonadota; Gammaproteobacteria; Enterobacterales; Enterobacteriaceae
Description: partial 23S ribosomal RNA
Rfam family: Bacterial large subunit ribosomal RNA
Source: RNAcentral